Non-coding RNA from Podarcis lilfordi (Lilford's wall lizard), 109 nucleotides. Lineage: Eukaryota; Metazoa; Chordata; Lepidosauria; Squamata; Lacertidae. The record is from the annotation of a GenBank genome assembly.
CCAACUAAGUUUGUUCUGGGUAUAAGCUUUCGUGUGCAUGCACGAAAUUUGUGUAUCUGAAGAAGUGUGCAUGCACACGAAAGCUUAUACCCAGAACAAAGUUAGUUCA